UAGCUCAUGAAAUUAUAAUAUCCCGUCUAACUCCUUCAGAUGUGAACGAAAUCGUUUGCGCAUGCAUUCAGGACAUUUAUAUGAUCACUCGAUCUUGAUCAAAGUAGAUUUUGGGUGAAUGAUGACCCAUUCCAUUUACUGAUUUAACCUGUUCAAAUUAGUCCAACCUGCUUAUGUGACACCCUUUACGAUUUAACUCGAGGCAAGACUUUUGAUUUGAUUCUAUAGGGGUUAGUGCGACUUCAAAAUUUCCAAAUCUGAGUACCCAAGUUUAGAGAAAUAUCAAUUCCAGUGGCUCUAUACAAAUGGGUUACUUGGAGUAUUUGUUUUUGUCUGAACUCUAAAUUUAGCUCAUGAAAUUAUAAUAUCCCGUCUAACUCCUUCAGAUGUGAACGAAAUCGUCUGCGCAUGCAUUCAGGACAUUUAGAUGAUCACUCGAUCUUGAUCAAAGUAGAUUUUGGGUGAAUGAUGACCCAUUCCAUUUACUGAUUUAACCUGUUCAAAUUAGUCCAACCUGCUUAUGUGACACCCUUUACGAUUUAACUCGAGAAGCAGGACUUUUGAUUUGAUUCUAUAGGGGUUAGUGCGACUUCAAAAUUUCCAAAGCUGAGUACCCAAGUUUAGAGAAAUAUCAAUUCCGGUGGCUCUAUACAAACGGGUUA
This 662-nucleotide long non-coding RNA is filed under the name Capsicum annuum. RNAcentral's name for it is "long non-coding RNA (CANN_LNC001508)". The record is from RNAcentral. Lineage: Eukaryota; Viridiplantae; Streptophyta; Magnoliopsida; Solanales; Solanaceae.